GGAGGCUGGCUCUGGGCAAUCUGCUACAGCCUCGUGUCCUACUGGUUUUAGGUCUUUGGAAAAUUCUUCUCUGAGGGGCAGAGAAGAUCCUUCCUCCAGACAGCAAUGCUGGCGAUCCACGACCCCCUGCUGCAUGUCAGCCAGGCUGGGCUGCUCCUCACAUACUCCAUCCUGGGGGAAGCCCAGAAGCUGCUGGGGGACAAGCUGGAGGAUGUCACAGCCAAGGUGAUGUGCCAGCUUCGCAUCAUCCGGCACUUGCACCAAGUGCCCGAGACGCUGCAAGGGCUGCGCCUCAUCUGAUGCCCUUAAAGGUUCCCUUCCAAUGUUCAGCAACUCCCGCUCCCUGCUGCAGCAAGAGGCUCCCCAGAGAUGUCCUCAAACCUGUUCUCCUGGGAGCCUUUCUGGGAGGAGGCUCCCAUCCCUCAGUCUCCAACUCCAUCGUGCAGUCUUGUUCACAUAACAUCUCCGCUCUCCAGCUCCACUUCCCACAGCAGGACAAACGAACCUUCAGCUCCUAGAGACCCGACUCUGACCUCCUUCUGAUCAGCAAUGGGGUUUCACCAUCCCCUCAACAAACCUGUCAGCCUCUGAAUGAUGAAUGUCAGAGUCACCAGAACCAGCAAAACUCCAACUGCAGCCAGUUGAGCCUUUGUGAACUUAGCCCCUCUGGAAACCAGGUCUGAACUCAUAGACUCAUAGACUUUAAGGUCAGAAGGGACCAUUAUGAUCAUCUAGUCUGACCUCCUGCACAAUACAGGCCACAAAAUCUCACCCUCCCACUCUUAUAAUAAACCCCUAACCUAUGUCUGAACUAUUGAAGUCCUCAAAUACUGGUUUCUAGACUUUAAAGUGCAGAGAUUCCUCCAGCAAUUGAACCGUGUCCUAUACUGCAGAGGAAGGUGAAAAACCCCCAGGGACUCUGCCAAUCUGCCCUGGAGGAUAAUUUCUUCCCGAGCCCAAAAAUGGCGAUCAGCUAAACCCUGAGUAUGGGGGCAAGACUCACCUCAACCCAAUAAAAGCAAGACUGGGCAGCGCAGGUUUGCAACAGGGAAAGGAGAGCGCUUUCCCCUGGGCUGCAGAGCCUGGGGCUUAGCCAAACUGAUUACAGAAUGAGUCCUACCUCAGAGGGACCAUGUAUUGGCCCCAAAAGAACUGGGCUAUGAACUGGAAUGAGAACUAGAUAGGAAGUUGAAAGCAGCAAGGAAAGCCUAGAAGGGAACUUGAGAAGAGAGGUAGGAUGUGCCCUGGGAAACCUACAGCAAAGAGAAAAGAGCAGCCCUAGCUGUUGAAUACAGAGCCCUGGGCUGCUACCAGUGUCAGGGUGGGACCAAGUUUCUCUACUGGCCUCAAAGAAGGGGACAUACACACACACCCAGAGAGGGUUACCAAGCCCAGCAAGGGAGCUGCAGGCUGAGCCAGAGCCCCAGCGAGAGCAGAACUUUUUUCUCUGGGAAGACCUCUUUGGACUUUCAGUGUGUGACAAGCUGAGCCCCAAAAGCAUGGACUAAAGGUGGUGAGCCGGCCAGAGGGCCGAAUUACCAGGCAGAGAGACUGCCAUGGUGCUGGAGUGACCAUCGAUGGAGGACCAGAGGGCACCUAACAAUGAGUAGAUUCACUGAUUAUUGGCAUAGUCAGCAGGAUUGAAUUCCCCCUGUCAUCCAUGAGGGCUCAUGGAAGUCUUGGUUCCUGAGGGAAGGUCCGUCCCCCGAAGUGGGAUUUCCCAUCUGAGUUCCAGGGACUGAUUAAGCAGGGCUCGGGUUUCUCCAGCAGCUCCUAGAAACCCAACAGAAGCAGAAGGAAGUUCAGGCAGAGCUACAGAUGCAGCUGGCAAUCUUGAGGGAGCAGCAGCAAUACCUGUGAGAGAUCCUGCAAAGGGAAAUCAACCUGCUACGCCCAUGGACAAAAAGAGCAGACUCAGCGAGCAUGCUGGGGCUGUGCUGAGAAGGUUAGCCCAGGAGAGCAGGGCAUGAGAAAGUAUACAAGCAUAGCCUAAUGCCAAAAUGGGAACAAAAGUUCUUCGGUUUGGGUGCAGAGAAGCAGGCCAUAUCGAAAGACCCGGCCUGCAUAGGAAAUUCCUGAGUGGCAAAAGGAGGGGCCAGGGCCCCAAGAAGGUAGAAAGAAAGGAGAAGGUGUCCUCCUGGACAGACACAUGUUAGGCAGGCCAGGUGGAGAUGGCAGGGAUGGCUGUGGACCUUGCAGACCCUCCUCCAACACACCUGUCGGGUGCUGCAGGGAGGUGAAGGAUGAAAUGGUUGGCACAGAGAGGAAUCAGUCACGAGAGUUGAGCAGUGGUGUGUGCUCAGACCUUGAUGGAAAAGGUUUUGGGGGAUGCAGCAGCAGUAAAAAAAAGGCUACAGAAGAAGCUAGUGGCUUCCGUACAAGGCUCUGCAAGCAGUUGUUAAUGAGAAUGCGUGGCUGCAGGAAGAGAAGGAUGGCCUCUGAGUUCUGGUGAGUACGAGGCUGUACGAGUGCACAGCCGGUGACAGCGACGAGAUGGUGAGGGAUGAAUACUGGACAAGAGUAGAACUUGCCCCGGGUUGGUCUGGAUUUUUAGGAGGAGGGUAUAUAACAGGGUGGCUUGGCCUGCAGCUGCAAAGCCUGGAGAUGACUAAGUGAGCCCCACCUGAGAGGAAACAAGGGAAAAAAGCAGCAAAAAUACAGAAGCAGCCCUAGCUGUUCAGUAUACGGCCUUGGGCCAAAACCUGGAGUCCAGGGCAGCACUGGGUUCUCCCACCGUCCCUAAGGAAGGGGAGAUAGAAGACCAUAGAAACCCAAGAAGGGCAGGCCAAGCCGAAAUCAAGUGGUGGAAGAGCUCCCCAUGAGGGUGGAAGGCCUUGUUUCUCUUCAAGACAUUUUUUGACUUUGUUUGGAAGGAGCGUGACCCAGGAAGGAGUGGACUAAAGGACAGUCAUCUGGUUGGAGGGCUGAGUUCCCAGCCAACAAACUGCAAGAGUGGCUAUCAAUGGGGUUGCUCGCCCAGCUAGAAAGCUGUGAGACGAGGCCUGGCCAGGAUCUAGCGGAGAUGUCUGGUGAACUGCCCGUGGACUCUGUGCCCAGCACCACUCUGAAAUUCUUUGCUACCUUUGAAGAAACAGGGCACAGCUCAGCCUGUUAGUCUCUGUCCCAGCCUCUCACACAGAUGAAUGCUGCAGCCAGCCCAGCUCAGAGAGCAGUGGGGAGAGAUGAUCUCAUCCUGUCAAACCAAGCAACGUGGGUCCCAUUGUGGCUUAGAUGGAAGAUCCCAUUCAUCUCCUGGAGAGGAUGUGUCCAGGAUCCUGGAGACUGUUUUCUGCAGGAGGUUUGAGCGGGGAGAGAUCACUCACUGUCAUGACCCCUUGGUCAUUAACCCAGGUCUGCAGGGUUCAUGGGAGCAGCCACACUCCAGCAGGCCACCUGGAAGCCUCCUAAAAACUGCUUACCUAGGACUUACGAAGUCCAGAACCAGUUGGAGGCUCUAUCCCUAAGGCCUUAUUGGCAGAGUCCCAGAGCAGCUAAUCGGCCCCUGGGACCUCCUUAAACCAACAGCAGGAACAAGAAGCUGUGUGAACACCCGAGCUCCCCUGUCUUCUGGACCAUGUGUUAGCUGUUCCUGCUCCCACUGCCCAGGCUUGAUUUCCUGGCAUCCUGACUCGCUGUGACUCAUCUGAUUUGAGGGUUUGGACACAAUUUGGUCUUUUUGGUCCCGACCCCAUUCCCCCCCCAGCCCUGACCCCCAGCUCCGAGCCCAGCCCCUCAGAGCUGGGCACUCCCCCAAACCCAU
Mauremys reevesii (Reeves's turtle) is the source of this 3760-nucleotide long non-coding RNA. RefSeq lists it as uncharacterized. The transcript is spliced from 6 exons. The record is from RefSeq and is a predicted model, not a curated record. Lineage: Eukaryota; Metazoa; Chordata; Testudines; Geoemydidae.